GAUCGCGUGCCCGAGUGGCUAGGGCCUCGCCUGCAAAGCGAGUGAACGUCGGUUCGAACCCGACCGCGAUCU
This 72-nucleotide transfer RNA is filed under the name Micromonospora craterilacus. It matches the Rfam family "tRNA". Rfam says of the family: Transfer RNA (tRNA) molecules are approximately 80 nucleotides in length. Their secondary structure includes four short double-helical elements and three loops (D, anti-codon, and T loops). The record is from Rfam by way of RNAcentral. Lineage: Bacteria; Bacillati; Actinomycetota; Actinomycetes; Micromonosporales; Micromonosporaceae.